This 271-nucleotide ribosomal RNA is filed under the name uncultured bacterium. RNAcentral's name for it is "partial 16S ribosomal RNA". It matches the Rfam family "Bacterial small subunit ribosomal RNA", at positions 88 to 354 of the family's 1533-position model. The record is from RNAcentral.
CCGGCGACCGGCGCACGGGUGAGUAACGCGUAUGCAACCUGCCCGGUUUCAGCGGGAUAACCCGGAGAAAUCCGGCCUAAUACCGCAUGUGGCCGAGGGGAGGCAUCUUCUUUCGGCCAAAGGAGGCGACUCCGGAGACGGAUGGGCAUGCGUGACAUUAGCUAGUUGGCGGGGUAACGGCCCACCAAGGCGACGAUGUCUAGGGGUUCUGAGAGGAAGGUCCCCCACACUGGUACUGAGACACGGACCAGACUCCUACGGGAGGCAGCAG